UUUAUCCAAAUUUGUUUCAUGAGUCUUGGCAUCCCUUCUAAAGCCAUGAACUUGUAUCAAUUCUUUUGAAUCACCCAUCUCAGGCAGGGAAAUUAGAUUUUUGGUGUCCAUGGGACUAUUCUCAUCAUUUGAAGGGCAUUCAACUUUGCUAUUAGCUUCCUGCAAUGCUUUCAAUCUCCUUACCAGAUAAGAGACUUUACUGCUAGAUGUUGACUGCCAAUCCGGAUCCCACAUGCCUGUUUAUACGAGGGUUGUAGCUCAAUAAGAUCCUUGGGAACAGGCCACUUAGGAUUUGGAUUUUCUGGCCGAGUGAGUGUAUCAGGAGUUUCCAUCUCAUAUAAGUUGCCACAGCCAGGGUAAGUACACCUCUGACUGUCCAAACCAACACAGU
This 391-nucleotide long non-coding RNA is filed under the name Rosa chinensis. Its description in RNAcentral is "sRNA RchiOBHm_Chr1g0323911". Lineage: Eukaryota; Viridiplantae; Streptophyta; Magnoliopsida; Rosales; Rosaceae. The record is from RNAcentral.